CAGUCGCUGUCAGUUAUCAGUCAUCAGAGUGAAGAGGCCUUCCUAGAGGGUUUCUUGCUUUUGAAGACUUGACAAGCCCUUCUGCUCUUCUGUGGACACCCCUCACCCACCCAUAAUUUCAAGAUCCAUUGAAAUACCAGAGGGUAGCAUUAAUCAGAGGGCAAGGCUGCCAGGUACAUAUUUUGGCCAGACCAACAAUGCAUGCCAAACCACAGUGACCGAGGAAGAGAAAAAAAAUAUGGAUUUUCCUGGUCAAAAUGAAGCCCGGCAGGACAUAAGCAGAGUGGCCUGUGACAUUCACAUCCUCCUAUUUUGUCUCAGUUGGACAGUUUUUACCAUUGCUUAAAAACAACAAGAGAAGAUAGCAGACCAGAUCAACAUACCAGGCUGUCAUUAAUUAUUUUGAAAGAGAGAGGAAAGAAACUCAUCCACAAAUACCAACAACAUUUUAGAAUGCAACCACACCCCUUCUCAGAAAUCACCCAAAACCCAAAUAGAGACAGCAAUUUACAAGGGAGGGUUCACCAAAAAAAUUAGGACUGUCCCCAACAAGGGUUCAGUUUUCCUCCUCAUUAGCCCAUUUAUAAAGACGGCCAGCCACUGACUCUGCACAUAAAAUAUGAAACGUGUUAUAAUCCAGCCACGCUGGAAAAUGUAAAAA
Molecule: long non-coding RNA, 661 nt
Organism: Pantherophis guttatus
Lineage: Eukaryota; Metazoa; Chordata; Lepidosauria; Squamata; Colubridae
Source: RefSeq, a predicted model, not a curated record